AACGUAGGAGACAAACGUUAUCCGGAGUUACUGGGCGUAAAGGGCGUGUAGGUGGUUGUGUAAGUCUGGCGUGAAAUUUUUCGGCUUAACCGGGAAAGGUCGUCGGAUACUGCAGAACUAGAGGACGGUAGAGGCGUGUGGAAUUCCGGGUGUAGUGGUGAAAUGCGUAGAGAUCCGGAGGAACACCAGUGGCGAAGGCGACACGCUGGGCCGAUACUGACGCUGAGGAGCGAAAGCGUGGGGAGCGAACAGG
RNAcentral lists this ribosomal RNA (253 nucleotides) under uncultured bacterium. RNAcentral's name for it is "partial 16S ribosomal RNA". It matches the Rfam family "Bacterial small subunit ribosomal RNA", at positions 524 to 776 of the family's 1533-position model. The record is from RNAcentral.